GGAAAACGAAGCCACUUGGAGUAGAUCUUUGCUAAGCAAAAGGGAAGAAGAAGUUUAGAGGAAGAUAAAAGAAUUUUACUAGUGUAGCAGGAUGCUGUAGGAUCCUGAAGGACUUUGGGCUUGUCAGAAAGUUGAUCUGCAGACCUUUACCCUCCUGAGCAGUGUUUUUGUGGCUGUGAUGACAGGAGGACAACACACACUGGCUCCUUUAGAAAGAACUCUCCAGGUUCAAAAACAGAUGGAUUUUUGGAGGUGCUGCAUGCUUCUAUCUCCUACAGAAACUGUUCCUGCUGUUCCAUCUCCCACCUCAUUCUCUCCACUCCAAGUAGAAGGUACUUGGGCAAAUGACUGGGAGUUCUCUUGAGAUCAAAUGAUGAGGGCAGCCAUCCUCCAAGGCCUCCUACAGCAGGCUACACAGGUAGGCAUCCAAGCAGAUCUUCAAUAUCUCCAGAGAAGAAUUCACAACUUCCCUGGGAAGCCUGUUCCAGUGCUCCAUCACCCUUACUGUGAAGAAGUUCCUUCAGAUAUAGAACAAUUGAAGACAAGACCAGACCCAGUACUGACCCCUAGGGAGAUGGACCCCCAAAAACCCAUAUUCUCCAAUUUGGAGUCAAGGAUAUCAUGUGGAACUGCAUCUAAUACUUUGCACAAGUCCAGGGUACAGGAUAAUUUUGUUGGC
This is a long non-coding RNA of Gallus gallus (chicken), 679 nucleotides long. Lineage: Eukaryota; Metazoa; Chordata; Aves; Galliformes; Phasianidae. The record is from Ensembl.